RNAcentral lists this ribosomal RNA (395 nucleotides) under uncultured bacterium. Its description in RNAcentral is "partial 16S ribosomal RNA". It matches the Rfam family "Bacterial small subunit ribosomal RNA", at positions 523 to 918 of the family's 1533-position model. The record is from RNAcentral.
AUACGUAGGGUGCAAGCGUUAAUCGGAAUUACUGGGCGUAAAGCGUGCGCAGGCGGUUUUGUAAGACAGAGGUGAAAUCCCCGGGCUCAACCUGGGAACUGCCUUUGUGACUGCAAGGCUAGAGUACGGCAGAGGGGGAUGGAAUUCCGCGUGUAGCAGUGAAAUGCGUUGAUAUGCGGAGGAACACCGAUGGCGAAGGCAAUCCCCUGGGCCUGUACUGACGCUCAUGCACGAAAGCGUGGGGAGCAAACAGGAUUAGAUACCCUAGUAGUCAACGCCCUAAACGAUGUCAACUGGUUGUUGGGUUUUCAUUGACUCAGUAACGAAGCUAACGCGUGAAGUUGACCGCCUGGGGAGUACGGCCGCAAGGUUGAAACUCAAAUGAAUUGACGGGG